CCCUCUAAACUUUUGCCACCGUUAGAAAUUAAAUACACUCAUAAACUAUAUAAAAUAGAUAUUAUACACCCCAGAUAUUCUAACUCAAUCUAAAAAAAAAUAGUGGGCUCCAGUGGCACGUCUCCCUCCUCGCUUUCUUCCACUAAACGACUAAUGAUAUCAUGAAGUGCCUGUUCACUCUGAUGAAAAAAAAAACCUUAUCAAAUUUUGCUAAAAUUUUGGUAGGAUUUCUUAUAUAGUUACUAAAAUUUAGCAGCAAACUAAAUAUAGCCACUUUUUUUAGCAACUUUACUAAAAUUUGAUAAAAUAAAAAAUGACAUUAAAAUGAAUAGGCCCAAAAUGAAACGGCAGGAGUAGCAGCAGUCGUUUCAGCAUCAACCAUCGUAGAACAAUAUCAUUACAGCAAUAACGUCCCACUAACCAGUCCAGUAAAAAUUUACGCCGCAGUAAAUACUCCUACAGUACAAACCUCACCAGUAUAAAACGAGAAGCUAGCGAACCACCUGCAGGAGGCGCCAGGCGGGUUGCAAGCAAACACACAACCCACCCGUCGUUGGGUCAGCCACGUGCACCGCGACCGAGCCGGACCAGUUUGGUCUCGGACAGUCGGACCCGAGUCAAUCCUUCAGCCUCAGGUGCGGCGUCCGCCCGCCACGUGUCCUCGCCUCACCAAUCAUCACCCAUCCUUCUCUUCUCGGCCCCACCAACUCUGUCUCUCUCUCUCUCUCUCUCUCUCGCUGCUCGCGCAAAAACCCCAACUGCGUCGCCGUGCUCGCCGGCUCGCCGCCUCGGCCUCGCCGCGCGCUCUCUCGCCGCCGGUGUCUGGACGACGAGGAGGUGAGUCCGUACGCCUCGCCUCUGUGUUGUUCUUCGUGUUCGCUGCUUCGGUUCGUCGUGUUGUGAUGUGAUGGCGUGUUGGAUGAUGUGUGUAACAGCUAAUUUGGUGCGGGUUUUUUGGGCGUGGUGGUGGUGGUGGUGGUGGUGGGGUGAUUUGCAGGGCGGGUGGCGGCGGGGGAUGGAUCGCUGGGAGGCGUUGAUCGCCGCCGCCGCGCGGCGGAGCGAGCCGCCGAGAAGCGGGUGGGCGGAGUGGGGCGGGGGCGGCGACGCUCGCGCGGGCGCGGCCGCGCUUCCGUCUCGCUGUCCCCGUCGUCCCGUGGCUGCUGCGGGUGGGAGAGGCGAGGGGGGUGAUAGAAUGCGGGGGCGAGGCGGGGAGGAAGGGACGUGGACGGCUCAUGGUGGAGGCGGACGAGGUGCGGAGCGCGCGGGCGCGGUGGUGGCGCCGACGAGGACAGCGGACGCGGCGGGGACGGGGACGGGGAGGAACGCGGUGGCCGUCGGCGGUGGCGCGGCGGAGGAUGGUAGGAGAACGCCCUCUGUUUCUGUUCGUCACGUCCUCUGCUUGGGUUUCGUCGAAUGCCUGGGAUGCGUGACUGUUAAUUUGGUCCUCUUUGUGUGUUCAGUGGUGGUGAUUGUAUCAGGGCGGCGAUCGGUGGGCGAGCCGACGCUGGACGUCUCUGAGAUGCUGCUCCAGGCGGCGCAGGCAUGGAGAAGCCGGCGCACGCAGCGGGAAGCUCGCCCGGACGCGCUUCCACCUCGCCAUCCUCCUCGUCCCGUCGCCGCGGAUGGGCGCGGGGGCUCAGGCGAGGGGACCAGUAGAGCGCGGGGGCGCGGCGAGGAGGGGACGGCUCGUGGCGGAGAUGGCGAGAUGAUGGCGCUGGUGAGAACAGUGGAUGUGGCCGUGGCCGGUGGUUUGGCCACGCUCACGCACGGCGGCGAGCGGGAUGCUGGCGCGGCGGUGGCGACGGAGGAGAAGAGAAAUGGCGGCGAGGUGGGGACGAAGAGGGGGAUGGAGGAGCGGGCCGCGCGUUCGCCGCCGCCGCCCAAGCGGAGCGCGGUGUCCUCCGUUCGCCAGCUUCCUCCAGGUUGCGGAAGGGACGCCGCUCUUCCACUCGGGCGCCGCCACGGCCGCGGCCGCGAUGGCGACGGUGGUGUUCCUCCUCUCGCUGGCAACAGAACUGAUUUGCCGUUGGAAGCUGUGGUGGAUGGUGGUGAUCCAAUUGCAAAUGUGCAUCAAAUCUUCAGCAAAUCUUCGCAUGCUACGGAUGAGAAUCAGGUCGCUUGCAAAGUUGGUUCACUGGAGGAUGUUGUACAAGAAGGGGCAGCAAAUAGUGGUGAAUUGCUGGGGUGGAAGCAAGUGUUAGCUCAAGCCGCGAAUGUGCUUCCCAAGAGGAGGAUGGUAUCCGCGACGCGCCGCUUCCCUCCUGGAUGUGGGAGGGACGUUAAGACUGGUUCAGGUUUGGAAUUCAUGGCUGUUGAUGCUUCUUGUGGUGGUGUGUCAAAGGAGGUGGUGGCUUCGGAUGGCGGUGAUAGUUUGGUUAGCCAGGAAUUGGAGGAGGGUGAGGUGGCUGAUGAGGCAUACUCUGAUGUAGAUUCACAAAAUGUUGCUGUGGAUGAUUCCAUGGCUGCAGCUACUGAAGAUGUUAAGGUGAUGAACAAAUGCAAAGGGACCUUACCCAGAGCCGCUGCUGAACCUUGUGCUGAGGGUCCUUCCAAAGAACAUUUUAAGGGUACGAGGGAGUGUGAAAAUGAUAGGAUGGGAAAAUCAUCCAUGAAUGUUGCAACAGAAGUAUUUGGUGAUGGUAUGAUGAGAAGUAAGAUACUAUUGACAGCUAGAAAAGCAGUCAAGUCACCACUGAACACUCUGCAUAGAUGGCCCUUCUCUAAGGGAAAAGAGGAGUGUGCUGUAACAAAUAGUGCUCCAUUUGGUCCUAAGAAGAAGUUUAAGGUAAAAGGUGCAUAUCAAACUAAAGAUAUUCCUAUCAAGAUUGUCUCUACACCUGGAUUAGGGGGCAAGGACAACCUUGUCGACAAAGAGGCUUUGAUCUUGGAAGAUGAUGAUAUUUUGAAGGCACUAGCUGUUCAUGAUGGAAAACUUAAGUUGUAUCUCAAUGCUUCCUCAUCUGUUCAGCGUCACGGGCAACAUGGAAGUGGGAAUGCUAAUGAUAGGAGGAAAACCAUGAUGCUGUGCAGGAGGUUUCAGUUUAUACACAGGGCUCUUGUACAUGCUGUCAAACAGGGCUCGUUGAAGGUUCUAAGAGCUGACCUUGAAGCUGAUAAAAUCGUUCGGAAAUUGCCGGGCUUUAUCAAACCUGGACCUAUUGUGGGAAAUGUUCGUGGAGUCGAAGUCGGUGACGAAUUUCUAUACAGAGUUGAGCUAGCCCUUGUUGGUCUCCACCGUCCAUACCAGGGAGGAAUCGAUACCACCGAUCAUAAUGGAGUGCUUGUUGCAAUAAGCAUCGUUGCUUCUGGAGGUUAUCCCGAUAGAUUGUCAAGUUCAGGUGAACUCAUAUACACUGGUUCUGGAGGACAGCCUGCUGGUAAGAAGAAAGGUGAGGAUCAAAAGCUAGAGAGGGGAAAUCUUGCCUUGAAGAAUUGCAUCAAGACAAAGACACCUGUCCGAGUGAUUCAUGGAUUCAAAGGCCAAAAUGGCAAGGAUGACAGUUAUUCAAGGGCUAAACAAAUCUCAGCAUUUACUUAUGAUGGGUUGUAUCGUGUGGUGGAUUACUGGAGAGAAGGUCUAAAAGGUUCUAUGGUCUUCAAAUACAGACUACAAAGAAUUCAUGCUGGUCGAUGAGGUUGAUCAUCUAAAUCUUUUCUAGUAAGCUUAUUAUUUAGUCUUAACAAAUGAUUCAGGCAGUAAAUGGUACAAUGAGAUUCUUUUCUACACCAUGGAUACUUACGCCAAUCUAAACUCUCUUGCUUGUUAGGUACAGAAUCAAGAUGUAUUUUUUUUGUCCUGGGUGAUAUAAUUAGCUUAGAAGGACAAGAAGUUACAUGGGCCUGGUUGAAGGUAUGUUAUAGUUGCAGGGUAUCUAAAGGGGACAUUUUACUGUACCCCUAUUGGUUAUGGUAGUAGUGUAGUAGGAAGCAGAUCAUCUAAAGCUAUGGCUAUUUUAGUCAUGUACUUCGUUAAGGUGAAGGGGCAAUUUAGUCUUCCGAUUAUCCCAAUCGAAGCAAAACAGGACUCGUUGGUUUGUUAGAUCGGCCCAAGCCUCAUUCUGCAUCUCGACGCACGACGGCCAAACCACAGCGCCGUCCAUAUUUGUAUGCAUUUUCCAGAGGUAUCUUUGCGAUAACAACCAUGCAAUCUUAGAUAUAUUUGUGAAAAGAAAAAAGUGCAUGCAUUGGAAUAUAACCGUUUCUUGCCUUGUGCAAAAGCUACCACUUCUCCUUCAGUGUGUACUUGGAUCAUAGAAGGUGACACCUUCAAAAUGCACCAGACAAGAUGCCAGUAACAAGAACAUGAGUAUGUGGAUUGGAUUGUCAAUCACCAAAACCCCUGAAUUCAGCUGUGCACCACAGCUGCCGUGGGUUAGCUCGUAUAAGAGUGUGCCCAAAUAUGAAAAUCACACUCAUGAAAAUCAAAAUCAUUUCUAUUAACAAGAUGCAGUAAAAUCAUGACAACAUCCUGAAGAAAAUUUGGUUAGCUGAUAGAAGUCAUAGAACAAAAUGUAUUUCAAAAUAUAUUCCAUCACUGAUUUCAAUUUCAGGAGCCCAAUUUUUGUACUAACUAUUUAACUGUAGGAAAGCUUACUAUAAACCAAUGAAAAAAAGAAAGCAUUAUAUGAUGACUUGUCUGAAUUACAGAAUAUGUGGCGUAGUUGUCCACUUACAAAUGAAUUCAUCAACUAAUUGAUCUCAAGGUUAUUCCAGAUUGUAGAUAGGAGCACAUCUCAAGCUUCAAUUAAAAAUCCAUCCAAAAUACGAAUUGAAGGACAAAAGUGACCAGAAUUAGGAAUGCAUACUCUAAUACUCUAUUCUCAGGAGUCAGGACAGUUAGAUAACCUGCUGGCUGUUGUGCUGGUAGCCUUGGCAUUUUCACCUUCACGUGUCAAUAAAAAAGAGUAAAUAUGACUUUCGUGGAGAAUUGCUUGAGUACAGUGUACACUGGAUGGGAUCACCUAUACAUUUGUCGACAAAUUCUCUUCUAAAAAUUUGACAAAUGAAAUUAUAGGACAAUUGUGAUGUAGGCUGUGUUUAGUUUACACCAAAAUUGGAAGUUUGGUUGAAAUUGGAACGAUGUGACGAAAAAGUUAGAAGUUUGUGUGUGUAAAGUUUUGAUGUGAUAGAAAAGUUGGAAGUUUGAAGAAUUAUUUUGGAACUAAACACGGUGGUAAUUUCACUGUAACUAUUAUAACUUGUAUGUAACUUUUAAAAGUUUCUUCGUAGUAUACUAUUUCGGUGAAACGGAAGUCGUGGGAACGAAUCCUCUGACAUAUGUGUGUGUUAUUUUUUUCCUUCCUCACUUGCACAAAUCUUGAAACAAAUCUAACGGUCCAAAAUUAUGUGAAAGUUAUGUAUAAGUUAGACUGUAGUUACAUGCAAGUUACAGUAUAAUUACAUGUAAGUUACAUUAUAAUUACAUUACGAUUGUUCUGUAUUACAUCUGCCAAAUUUUUAGGAGAAAAUUUAUCGACAAAUGUAUAGCAAAAUUGUUUUGUAAUAUAUUGAUUAGAAAAUUCUCAAUCUCACUCUUCAUAGUAUGGUUUUGAAUCUCAAGGGUGAUGUUUUCCGGUGGCGAAAAUGGGCGUGAAGUGUCGCUCGAACUCCUGGAAGGGGUGAGAGUCGAAGCACUAGAACACAUGCGCAAGUACACGGAAGGCACUUCGGCAACCUAUAACAAGAAGGUUCGACCGAUAGAACUCCGGCCCGGCCAUCUCGUACUAUCCUAACCUAUAUUUUUCCUUCAAAUUUAAAAUCGGGUAUAGGUAGUGCCGGAUCGGAUAACAUGUCACUUGUGCCGUAUCACAUUCCAUAUUAAUUUCUCGAAAUCGGAUACAUGAAAGAAUUUCUAUGUGCAAUUCAUGCAUAUUAAAUAUAGAGGGGCAAUUAAAGUACCAAAAGAGAUAAAGCAAGAAAACAUUUAUGUAAUAUUACCUAUGAUAUUAUAAACUAGUGUAAUCAAUAUUUUAUCAUGUUUGUAGGUGAACUUAUAACAGAUUUUCAUAUAUGUAUAAUAAUAAUAUGGGAAUACGAGUGGACACAACUUUUCCCUUAUUAAAACAUAUCUUUUACGAAUUUGGAUUCGAACUUGGAUAGUAUCGAAUAUCCAUUUUCUCUCCCAUGUUCUUGUGAGCCUCAGGCCAGGCAGGUGGUCGGAAAAUGCCCGUCCCAUUUUCGCCCGUAGUAAGAACUAGAAAAAAAAAUCUGAAUUUACCCCUGAACUAUUGACACCAUCCGAGUAACCCCAUAAAUUACAAAACCAGACAUAUCUACGCCCCUAAACUUUUCAAACCAGACAACAAAACCCCUAACUCAAUCCGAAGCGGUUUGGAUUUUAGGUGACAUACAUGUGUUAGUCCAAACAACAAAAAGUAAUAAAAAAAUAGUGGGCUCGGUCAGUCUCCCUCCUCGCUUUCGUCCACUUCCAUCUCUCUCUCUCUACCCCCAAGUCCUAACAGAAAGGAGGGAGGUGGCGGAAGCUCAGCUGCCGGAGGAAGACCGUGGCAAAGGAGGCGUCCUCGGGCAUCGAGGUGCAUCAUGACCUCCCGUGGAGGCGGCGGAGGCGCUAGCUAGCACAGAGCACUUGACGACUUUGGUCUUGCAUCGAUGCCUCGACGCACGCGCGACUGCUUCUAGGAUAGAUGGUGAUGUGCUCGAAAAUGGCUCACCAAAGCCAUGAUCUUGAUCACUUGGUGGAUCUGGAAGGAGCACAUUGUGCGUAUCUUCGGCAGAGUUCAGCGCCAUGGUGUUGCAGACCUAGUCUAGUGUGUGGCGGUAGCUAUUAGCGGUUUAAGAACCUUGAGGCGGUCUUGCUUUAAGCGGUAUGAGAUGGUCUUACCUUGGCAAAACUAGUUUCCUGAGAUUUUAUAUUCUAAAAUCCUUUUAAAAUCUAACAAAAUUUAGACGGCGUCCUUCGACCGCUCAGUGAAAAAAACUAAAAAUUAUGGUCGAAGUUUUAGAAUUGGACCAAAAUUAUCUAAAACAUAACCAAGUGAGUACAAAAUCUAUUAGGAAAACAAGAGGAGUGUUACUAUCCCUAAAUAGUAUGGUCUCCGUUUCAUAUUAUAAGUUGUUUUUAUUUUUUUUCUAGUCAAACACUUUUGGUUUGAUCAACUUUAUAGAAAAAUAUAGUAACAUCUGCAACACUAAUUUAGUUUAACUAAAUAUAAUAUUAAAUAUAUUUUGGUAAUAUGUUUGUCUUGCGUAAACUGGAUCAAACUUAAACGACUAAGAGCAGGUACAAUAACAGACUAUAAGCCAGCUAUAAAUAUAUUUUAAGGAGAUAAAAGAGGAAAGAUAAGAGCAGCGGGCUACAGAUUUAUAGCUAGCUACAACACAGACUCCAAGACACAUGUGUGUAUGAUAGAUGAGACCAUAUAUUGAUUGUGUAGUAUAUGUUUAUAUGUACUUCCUCCGUUUCAGGUUAUAAGAUAUUUUGAUUUUGGCCAAAGUCAAAUAGCUUUAAGUUUAACCAAAUUUGUAGAAAAAGGUAGUAACAUUUUUAACACAAGACAAAUUUAUUAUGAAAAUAUAUUCAAUUAUUGAUUUGAUGAAACUAAUUUAAUAUUAUAAAUAUUAUUAUAUUUUCUAUAAACUUAAUGAAACUUAAAAUAAUUUGACUUUAACCAAAGUUAAAACGUUUUAUAAUCUAAAACGGAGGGAUUAACUAUUGUAUAAAUUGGCUAUUAAGUUAAUUAUUAAUGAUUUAGAGCCAAUAGUUUACUAUACCAUUAAACUUGCACUAAUGAUAUCAUGAAAUGAAACGGCGGGAGUAGCAGCAGCCGUUUCAGCAGCUACCAUCGUAGAACAGCAUCAUUGCCACAAUAAUGCCCACUACCAGUCUACUAAUUUACGCCGCAGUAAAUACUCCUACUCCAAUGCAAACCUCACCGGUACUAUAUAAAACGAGAAGGCGCCAGGCGGGUUGCAAGCAAACACACGACCCACCCGUCGUUGGGUCAGCCACGUGCACCGCGACCGAGCCGGACCAGUUUGGUCUCGGACAGUCGGACCCGAGUCAACCUUCAGCCUCUGGUGCGGCGUCCGCCCGCCACGUGUCCUCGCCUCACCAAUCAUCACCCAUCCUUCUCUUCUCGGCCCCACCAACUCUCUCUCUCUCUCUCUCUCUCGCUGCUCGCGCAAAAACCCCAACUGCGUCGCCGUGCUCGCCGCCUCGCCGCCUCGGCCUCGCCGCGCGCUCUCUCGCCGCCGGUGUCUGGACGACGAGGAGGUGAGUCCGUACGCCUCGCCUCUGUGUUGUUCUUCGUGUUCGCUGCUUCGGUUCGUCGUGUUGUGAUGUGAUGGCGUGUUGGAUGAUGUGUGUAACGGCUAAUUUGGUGCGGGUUUUUUGGGCUUGGUGGUGGUGGUGGUGGUGAUUUGCAGGGCGGGUGGCGGCGGG
Molecule: long non-coding RNA, 8401 nt
Filed under: Oryza sativa (Asian cultivated rice)
Lineage: Eukaryota; Viridiplantae; Streptophyta; Magnoliopsida; Poales; Poaceae
Description: long non-coding RNA (OSAT_LNC001519)
Source: RNAcentral